GCAUAUCCAUAAGCGGAGGAAAAGAAACCAACAGGGAUUGCCCUAGUAACGGCGAGUGAAGCGGCAACAGCUCAAAUUUGAAAUCUGGCUCUCGGGCCCGAGUUGUAAUUUGUAGAGGAUACUUUUGAUGCGGUGCCUUCCGAGUUCCCUGGAACGGGACGCCAUAGAGGGUGAGAGCCCCGUCUGGUUGGAUGCCAAAUCUCUGUAAAGUUCCUUCAACGAGUCGAGUAGUUUGGGAAUGCUGCUCUAAAUGGGAGGUAUAUGUCUUCUAAAGCUAAAUACCGGCCAGAGACCGAUAGCGCACAAGUAGAGUGAUCGAAAGAUGAAAAGCACUUUGAAAAGAGAGUUAAAAAGUACGUGAAAUUGUUGAAAGGGAAGCGUUUAUGACCAGACUUGGGCUUGGUUAAUCAUCUGGGGUUCUCCCCAGUGCACUUUUCCAGUCCAGGCCAGCAUCAGUUUUCCCCGGGGGAUAAAGGCGGCGGGAAUGUGGCUCUCUUCGGGGAGUGUUAUAGCCCACCGUGUAAUACCCUGGGGGGGACUGAGGUUCGCGCAUCUGCAAGGAUGCUGGCGUAA
This 573-nucleotide ribosomal RNA is filed under the name Fusarium oxysporum. RNAcentral's name for it is "eukaryotic LSU rRNA". It matches the Rfam family "Eukaryotic large subunit ribosomal RNA", at positions 38 to 634 of the family's 3401-position model. The record is from RNAcentral. Lineage: Eukaryota; Fungi; Ascomycota; Sordariomycetes; Hypocreales; Nectriaceae.